RNAcentral lists this transfer RNA (74 nucleotides) under Bacteroidota bacterium. Its description in RNAcentral is "tRNA-Pro". It matches the Rfam family "tRNA". Rfam says of the family: Transfer RNA (tRNA) molecules are approximately 80 nucleotides in length. The record is from RNAcentral. RNAcentral also lists the same sequence under 1 other name. Lineage: Bacteria; Pseudomonadati; Bacteroidota.
CGGGUGGUAGCGCAGCCCGGUAGCGCACACGUCUGGGGGGCGUGGGGUCGCAAGUUCGAAUCUUGUUCACCCGA